Long non-coding RNA from Momordica charantia (bitter melon), 558 nucleotides. RefSeq lists it as uncharacterized. NCBI's taxonomy places the organism in Eukaryota, Viridiplantae, Streptophyta, Magnoliopsida, Cucurbitales, Cucurbitaceae. The record is from RefSeq and is a predicted model, not a curated record.
GUCGAAAACUUGAAAAGACAGACUAAUAAAAGAAGGAAGAGGGAAGAAAAUCGAUCAAAUAUCACAGUUAUGGCCCAAAAAAUCUCUAUCAAGUUGUCUUUUUUGGCUGCAAUGAUCUUGUUUCUCACCGUGUUUGGUUCAGUGGCAGGCAAGCCAUUGGGCUCGAAAGCAAGCUCUUUCAUCCAUAUCACAUGCAAUACUUCAAAUGAUUGCAAGGACCCUCACAACCCUUACGGUUGUUUAUGCGACACUGGCUUGUGCUUCUGCGCAAGUCACAAGCCCUUCAACUUCAACACUCACAAGAUUACUAAUGAAAUUCUCUCGUAAGACAACAAGAAAAAAAGAUUUGGACUUGAAGAACUAAUAAAUUAGCCUUUACAAUUUCAUGCAUGUGACAGGUUUACAUGCCAGCCUUUUCUUUUGGAGUUUAAAGUUUGAAUCAAAUAAGAUUUGAGUAUUAUUGCAGUUUUAUCAUGUAUUAUUGGGAGUAAAUUACAAAAGCUACUCUUAUCUUGAAUGCAUUAAUUUCCAUGGUUAUGGUACAACUUGAGAAUUUAA